This 6157-nucleotide long non-coding RNA is filed under the name Bemisia tabaci. RNAcentral describes it as "lncRNA ENSASIAIIG003494". Lineage: Eukaryota; Metazoa; Arthropoda; Insecta; Hemiptera; Aleyrodidae. The record is from RNAcentral.
CAUAAUUUUCGGUAAUUUUUUUAUCCGCCGAUCUUUCUGCUUCUUGUCUCGGGCAGGACAGUACCGACUCUGGACCAGUUAGGCUGUAAAACCGGGAAAAUAAUUCGGGAUCGGUGGUUGAAAGCGCGAGAUGGAAACUGUGCGUUCGUUAUGAUAAGACAUUCAUUAAACCCAAGUUCUAAAAAAUGAAAUUUUACUUAAAAGAGGAAGUCGACAGCACGUAACAUUCGUGACACAAACUGAAGCUUUUACUUUUGCGUGCUGUAUCUGAAUAGUUCAGUCGUUUCGAAGCAGUUUGUUAGUGCUAAGAACCGGAAUAAUUUUCCAGUAGCUUUUUUGUAAAAGGAAAAAACAAAACAUUGAAGAGACGCGUGAAAAAAAUAUUUAAUUAAAACUCGAUAAUUUUACAAUCAAAAACUUUAAAAUGACCUAAUCUAGAUGUUCCUCUGACGUUCUUAACGUCAGAAUUCGUAUCAUCAAUUAGUUUUACCGGUUAUCGGAGAUAAAACUAAUACAUUUGAGAUGCUGUGCGACGUUUUAAUUUUCCUUUAAUCCUAUAGAGUGAGAAAUGGGAUGAAUGGCAUGAAAAUGGUGCGCAAACGCGAUAAAAUGCUACGUUAUCAGCAAUGGGUAGUAUUUUUGGGCUCAUUUAAUAAGACCUUAACCCAAAAUUUAGUUGGAAAUUGGAACUAUCCCGGAGUUUUGCGCGUAUUGCUGUGCGAUAAAAUCAGCCCGCGCUGAUUCCGCGUUCGUCUAUGGCAAUCUGAAUUUCAUCGCUGAUACCACCAAUCAGUCAGUCAACAACUGCAAAAGAAACAUCAGAAGUUUUUCGGGCCCCUGCCGGUUUUGAAGGAAUAAAUGUACGGAAUCCCGCAAGAAUCCAUCAUGAAGAUUCGAAGAUUAAAGAAUUAUUGACACUCAAUGGACCGAUAAAAUUUAAAUCCCCCGAAUGAUGGUCACGCGUGGAGUGACCUUCCGUGUCCGCAUUAAAUUUUUGUGCGUUUUUGUGUUCGAGUACGCUAUUUUGAGCGCAUUUUCUUUGAUCACCGAUGACGGGAAAAUGAACUAUGACGUCACAUCGACACAUCACACGAAAAAAGAAAUUGGAACUUCCCCCGCAGUAAACGAGACUGUUAGUCCAGGCUCCAAUUUCAACAUGUCGAAAUUCAAUGUGGCAUUUAGGUCUUCUCGUGAUGAAGUAACAAUAAAUGGAAGCACGUAUUUUCCCGAUGCAACUUUUCGUAAUGUCAAUGAUUCUGGUCCUUCAAACCAAACCGAUGGCAGUAAAAUGACUGUGCACGUUUACAAUUUAGGAGAAAAUAAAAUUUUUGAACCGCAAAAAUUGCCCUUGGACCGUCAAUUAAUCAUAUUUUCAAACGGAACACAAGAUAACAAGCGGAAUAUACUCCAUAAUAGAACACACCUGAAUACAUCAAUAAAUGACGCCGUUGACUCUAGCGAGAAUAUUAAAGAUAAGAUGAAGCUGUCGCUGCCAGAACUGGAUAGCGAGAAAUUGAGAGAUAGAGAGACCGCGCUAAAAAUUAAAGCAUUUCAUCCUUUUCCCCUCAUAAAUAAAAGCAGAUUCGAUUUUAAUAUUGAGGCUACCAAAGAAAGUGAUAAGUUAGUACCAAUCACGAUGACGCAGUCUUCAAAGCGUUCUAGUUAUAUUUUUAGCUUAAAUAAUGUCUCAGAGCAACGAAUUAAUGCGGAACCUAAUGAAAUUACCAAACUAUCCCACGAAAAGCCAUCACAAAUUAUUUCACCGCUUGCAAAAGUACUCAGGACCGUAAAUGUGCAGUCAAACAAUGACAGUCGACCAGUUAGUUUAGAGUCAAAAGAUGAGAAAAAUCUGACCGAUUUGGUGUUUAUAAAGUCGUCUAAAACUCUGAAUCUGGAGUUAGAGAAUAACUUUAUAUCGUCAAAUUCGAAGACGGAGAGUGAUAUCCAUUCAAUCAAGGCACAACCUGAGGAUCGGUUUAAAUGGUUCGAUUUGCAGCCGAAGUUCAAUCUGAAACUUUCCGGCUCAGACCCAAAGAACGUUAUCAAAUUUUCUGAGCCUCACUUCAGAAAUGACACCGAAUUGGCUGGUUUAAAGUCUAGAAGUCAGAUCAAGGAUCCUAGUUUUUUAGAAAAACGUGAUAAUAAUUCGAUUAAGCUAGAGUCGGCUGAGACGCUCAACGUAACCUCAAGUGGAAACAGCACUCUCGAUAAAAUAACCAACCGUACAAAACUGGUGGGUCAACAAAUCGACAACGAGACUGACUCGAUGACAUUAAAGUUAAAUGUAAGCCCGAGUUUCAAGAACGAAACCUUCUCGAACGUCAGCCGACGACGAGGCAAAGAGUUCAUCUCGGAGGAGACCCUGAUGGAGUCCCGAAACUACAACUACGAUCCCGCGUACCCUUCCUACGCACAACCCGUGAACCCGAGCGGCUCCGGCGAAGAGGCGUACCACCCUUUCGCGACCAUCACCCGCGAGUCCGGGUGGUACCAGGACCCGACCUACCCCACGCUAACGACCGCCAAGACGCCACGCGCUCCGCAGUUCCCGGUGCCACCCCACCGCUGGCGCCUGCCGCUCUGGUACCGCGCCCGCCUCCGCGGCUACCCCAAAGACGAGCCGUUCUACGACUACCUCGAGGACGAGGAGCUCCAGCGCUGGUCCCAGCCCACCGCCCCCGCCUCCAGCGUGAGCCCCAUCCGCCCGGAGUUCCACCGGUACCACGAGGGCGGCGGCUACGACUACAGCCCCUCCUACGACUUCGCGCACGUCCACGAACACGGCGGCCACACCGAGACCACAAGCAAGUUCGACUUCUCGAAGAUCGGGCUCCUCCUCUUGUUGAAGCUCGCCAUCGCUAAGCUCAAAGCCCUCGGUGCGCUCCAGAUCCUGUUGCUCCUCCUCCUCAAGGCCAAGCUCCUCUUGGCGAUGAUGGCCCUCAAGUUCUUCAUGGUCCUCAAGGCGAUGAAGCUGCUCAAGUACCUGAUCGCGCCGCUGUUGCUGUCGUCGCUGUUGCCGCUGCUCAUGAUGAUUCCGAUGAGUCUGCUGUCGGCGCUGCUCCCGCUCUUGAUGAACCUCACCCAGAUGCAGCCGGAUGAUCCGGACCCGCCGGAGGACCUUCCGGAUCCCCCAGAUGAAGAGCCCGAAGAAAUGCCGGAAACGCCGGAAUCUGGCGGGAGGCGGAAGAGACGGAAGCAUCAUAAAAGUCGCGCCUUGGGCGAGAUUCAAAGGCUUCUGCGCUCUGAGGAUUGCCUCCAGAGGAUGGCCUGCGAGCUGGCUGCCAAGAAACAGUUGGCCAUCGUGCCAUUUAUUGUUGCUUGGAGUUUGAAGAAGCUUGCCAACAUGUUGCCAAUCCCCAUUGUGAAAGAGUACGCAAAAGCUUACACAAAUGGCCGUCAGAUGAAUCGGUCUUCGUCAGGAUGUUCCUCUAAAUAUAGAUGCAAUUACCUCAAGAAACGGAGUUGAACAGAGACAUACUUGAAAUAUGUUUUUCUUUGAGAAAGUAAAUUAUUUACGUGUGUGCAAAAUUAAUAAGUUCUCUGAAGGGUAGAGUAUUGUCAUACGGCGGAAUUGAAGUGACGUUUGUGUCAAAUUUAUGCUAUUAUUAAUUGCAGGUUUAUAAAAUACUUUAUGCAUAUGGAUACCUGCAAGGUUGCGAUAGAAACUCCAAUUUUGCUGAAUGAUUAAGGCACACAACUUUACAACAGAAUCCAAGUCUCACUCUGUUUGCUGAAGAAGGCCGUCUCAUUCUUAUGCAGAAUUAUGAUUCUGAGGCAGAAUUUAUAGUCAUUUUGUGAUCUGAACUUGGUGAACGUAGUCACCAUAGUUAUUUUCUUUUUUUUUCUCUCUUAAUAUUUAUUGAUUGUAGUUCAUAGUCCUGGACUGGAGGGAAUAGGAAUUUGCCAUUGAGACAAGUUUAAGAUACACUAAUGUGAGGUUAUUUUUAACACAUUCACGGCCAAAAUCCUUUCAGCAAUGAAUGGAUUUCCAUCUCAGAUUUAAAUUAAUAAUAUAUCGAAAAGUGCGUUACAGCUAUUCCCGUGGACUUAAUGACGGUCCUUGCAAUGCAAUUGAAUCAGUGAGAACGAAAACACACCAACUCGGUAAUUCAAAAAUGCUCAAUUUUCAUUAAAGAGAGUCAGUUUUCAUAUAGAGGUUAUUGAAGUUAACGCAUCUGUUCCAACUUGAACCUUUAAAGUAUCCUUUAGUACUACUUGUCUUUCGGCACCAAAAAUCUUUUUCUUGUGCCAAUUUCUUCAACUACUGUGCAUUUUUGCGUGUUUUGAUUAAUUUCAUUUUUUCGAGUUGGUGUGUUUUCGUUCUCACUGAUUCAAUUAUAGUUUCCUUUUCACUUCUUCUUUGGAGUGAGGUUUUAAUUUACAUUACAUUUUAGAUUUGCAAAGAUUUCCACAUAUUAAAUAUCGAAUUUUCCUAUUGCAUUACCUGUCACACCAUUAUGAUGUUUUGCACACACCAAACGGAUUUUAGUUAAUGAUCCGUUGUACAUCUUCACUAAAUAUUCCGGUCCCACCGAUGUCAAAAUAUUGUGCGAUUCGACAAAGCUCCUACACAUUGUAAUUUAAAAAUAAUCAAUUUUUCACUGAGAUGCCUCGGCCACUAAGAGAAGUUUCAUUGAUCGUGAGAAAACAUUAUAAUUAUAGUGUAGUAACGUUGUACAAUAAAGGAUAUUUAUUAUUGAACGAAUGUAAAAAGUAAAAUUUAGCAGAAACAAGGUUAGAAAUGAAAAAGGUUUAUUUCCAUCGAUCAUAUUUGACGGAAUAAAAGCAAAGUGGCAAAACAUGUCGAGGGGAAGCCUUGAAUUAUAUAGUAAAAGUUAGCCACAAACUAAACGAGGGUAUAUACCAAAUUGAAGAAAUAAGGUAUUUUCGGAGAACUAGGGAUAGCUCCUUUUAUUGAUUGUAGGCUUCCUCACUAAUUCAAGAAGUGUCGGAAAAAUACACGUACCUCGGAGGCAGUCAUAGUUAUUGGAAACGUUUGUUGAUGGUCCUGAAAAGAACGAAAUUGAACCAACGACAAUUUCACAGUUACUGUUUAAUUAAAGAAUCCUGUUAUACUCUCUAACUUUCUAUUUAAUAAAGUGGGUCUUCUAAAUGAAACACGAUAUAAUAAAUAUUUUCCGUUUGUAAUUGUUCAUUAUACAAUUUUCCUCUAUCAAAAUACUUGCGUGGUUAUUCUAAUUUAGAGAAAAAACACCGAAAUAAGGAAAAUGAAUGGACUGUAAACUGAAACAGAAUAAAUUUCGUUUAAUUUAUAUCUCUGCCGAUGCAAGAACGUUACUGAGAUAAUAAAUUCCUGUAGGUUCAUUUAUGAAACUUUGCGACUCACUUCUCAAAAGAGAAUGACCAAAAAACUUAUUUCGCAGAUAUAUGAGGAUUUAUUGUCGAUCGAGUUUCAGCUUCUGCCCUAACGCGUCUCGAAUGAAACUAUUCGUGUUCGCGCGUGGUCUGCGCGUGUUGCAUGCACAAAAAAUGAAGGCACCAUGACAUUGUCAGGCGUACAGCGCAGCGUGAAGAUUUUCUCAGCUUAUUUUUAUUUUAUACUAACGCCGAGAUAAAAUUAAGUUUUUAGAUAGCUUCCAUAUUUUUUUCCGACUAAAAUAAUAUGAUGGCAGGCAAAAGACAAUUCUUACAGAUCAUAACUGACGGUAAUUGAGGUAACUGGUUUGAUAGAUUCACUCCCGAUCUAUAUCCAUGGAAUUGAUGCUUUUGAAGGACUUCUGAGGGUUAUAGUUCUUAGUUUGUCUCAGGUUUAUCCUCAAGACAACCAACCGUUCUUGUUAUUUUUAUCAAUUGUACUAAGUUUAAGUCAAAUCGAUGAAAGUGUUUCAAUGCAUGGUCUACUUCUUAGGAAUGUAUAGUUAAGUAAUUAAUUGUUCCAGUUACGUUGAGAAUAAAAUUUCUUUAUUUCAAAUGAAAAAGUAUCUGUGUGUUAUUGAAAUAGUUUUAUCAUUCUAACGUAGCUCUGAUGAGUAGUAUAAAUACGUUUAAAUAGUAUCUACAAUUUUCUCAAACCUUGAACACCUCAAAUCUUCAGAAAAGUGUGGUUUACCCAACCUAUUACGGUAGUUUAUGCUGACUUGUAUGAUGAUUUAAUUUUGAAUCAGAAAUACAUUUGAAUACCUUACUUCAGAAGUAC